Long non-coding RNA from Suricata suricatta (meerkat), 619 nucleotides. RefSeq lists it as uncharacterized. The record is from RefSeq and is a predicted model, not a curated record. Lineage: Eukaryota; Metazoa; Chordata; Mammalia; Carnivora; Herpestidae. The transcript is spliced from 2 exons.
CGAUCGUAACAACAGCAGCCCCAGUGAAUCAAGCCUUUCAGUACCCACGCACAUGGAUAGACUCCUCCCACACUGACUCUGAGCUUGGCCAUGUGACUUGCUUUGGCCAAUGAGACAUUAGCAAACAUGAGGUAGGCAAAGGCCAGACACAAGCCUGCGCACUGGCACUUGCCUCCUGGAACCCUGAACCCGCCGCUAAGCUGGAGGAAAUAAUGCAUGGAAGACGCACGGAGAGAGAAUCCCAGCUGCCCCGCAGACACUGGCCGCCCCAGCAAACCACCGCAACCUCAUACUGAGCCCAGGUGAGACCCGCAGAAGCAUCCAGUCAAUCCAAAGCAUCAUUGAGAAAAAGCCAGCUGCCAUGUUCAGAAGACACUCAAGCAGCCCUGCAAGGAGGGUUAUAUGGCGAGAACCUGAGGCCUCCUGCCAAAAGCCGUGAAAGGGCGCCAUCUUGGAGGUGGACAUUCGUGGUCCAUUAAGCCUUGGGGUGCCUGCAACCUUAUGAGAGAUCACCCAGCUAAGGUGCCCUCAGAUUCUUGAUCCACAGAAACUGUGUGAGACACUAAGUGUUUAUUGUCUUAAGCUGCUAAAUUUUGAGCAAUAGAUAACUAGUACAACA